Molecule: non-coding RNA, 111 nt
Filed under: chicken gut metagenome
Description: FMN riboswitch (RFN element)
Rfam family: FMN riboswitch aptamer (RFN element)
About the family: The RFN element is a highly conserved domain that is found frequently in the 5'-untranslated regions of prokaryotic mRNAs that encode for flavin mononucleotide (FMN) biosynthesis and transport proteins. This element is a metabolite-dependent riboswitch that directly binds FMN in the absence of proteins.
Source: RNAcentral
UAUCUUCGGGGCAGGGUGAAAUUCCCGACCGGCAGUAUAGCCUGCGAACCGCUUUUGCGGCCGAGACGGUGCGAUUCCGUCGCCGACGGUAUAGUCCGGAUGAGAGAGGAU